CAACAUCCAAACAUCUCAAGUUCCCAAACCCCCGGAAGUUGCCCGCACAGCGUCCAUCUUGGAACCGUCUCGAUCCAAGGCACGCCAAACCUCUGGAACCCACCCGAGAGGCAUUUCUCGUCAAUCUAUAUCGCACUGUGCAAGCCAGCAGUCGCCUUCCCGUCGUCGACCCGCGCCGUUCCAGCUUCCACUCUUUCGCUCACACGCACGGCGCCUCCCCCACAGUUCUCCGAUUCCAAUUUUCCGCAAGGAAUGUCAUCGCGACCGCCCCGCCGGUGUCUGGACACCCGCAGUACGUCGCAGCUUCGAUCCCGUAUCGGGUGCCUCUCAAGCCUGCCGCGCCUGGAUUACUGCGGUUCAGUUCUUGUCCGCCGGGCAAGCCAGUCCCGCGGGGCGAAUUGGUCUCGGAACUUAACCCUAAGUAUACCUUUGGUUCUGAAAAGUCUUGCGCUCCUAUAGUCGUUCGGACCGCCUUCUAUGCUCGCGUCUUUCGAGGGGUACGUCGCCACUGGCCGCUGAAAAGUGGUGUGGCACUGCUCCGGCGAGGACGUGGGCGGACCGGCGGGAUGGGCUCCAGUCACCGGCUCGGUGGGCGACCGUCCCUUCCCAUGAGUCCACACGGUAAGCGCCUCUGGCCCGAGGCCGCUCGUCGGGAAUCGGACACUGGAACUAGUACUCUGGUCAAUGCGGAUUGCCUGUGGCGGUGUUGGCUGGACGACCGAGUGUCGGCGGAUACCUCCGGGCAGCUUGUCUGCUUGCAUGCUCCCAUGGGCUGGCUCCUGCUUGCAGUCCCAGCUUCCGGAAUGAGAGGGAGAGCGCAGCAUCUGGCUCCACACGAUCAUCCAGUACAUUUCACCACAUUGUCUGCAGCUCACCUCGCAGGAAUCACUUCGGUGAGCGAGGGCUGUUCGACUCCACGCGGAAAUGUCGAAGGAUGAUGUCCACCACGCCGUGCUGUCACGUUCUCGGUACCCUCGAUUUCCGUCUCUUCUUGCAUGCGUAUCCAACCGCCUCGCGGCUCCGCCGACCCCCAUGGACCGCGCUGCGGCACCAUGCCCACGCGUCAUGAAACCAUGAGGUCCGACCAGGCGCAUUAACUUGUCCUCGUAGGCGUCCGUCCUACGUCCGACAAGACGACCAAAACACCCCGUGUCUCGCUGUGCCUUCGGGUGCCGAGCACUCCCUCCCUCCGCCGGGUCUGAAAGAACGAUUUUCGGCUGGAGAUGACAGCGCGGUUUUUGAGGACGUCUUUUGUCCGUGCGGUACCGCCCUCCUUGGUCGGCUCCGCCUACUCGGCGGUCGGCAGUGGAGAGGAAUCAAAAACUAGUCCCAGUUGGCAGUGCGACACACACGGAGAGCAGUGGCUGGCUCGGCGUCUCGGCACGGGGAAGUGCACCGCUGGCUGCCGAGUUUGACGAGAUCUGCAUCAAUGACGGUCGGCUUCUGCUUAAAGGUUGGGCGUUGCGGAGGAUCCUGACACUCUGUGGGGGGUUGGGGGUUGGGACUUAGUUGGCUGAUUGAGGAACAAUGCGUCAACCUGGGUUCUCCUGAUGAAGGCGGCAGGUGGAGACGGAUCCGGGUCCGGGACCCAUCUCGAGUUGGAGUCAAAGCUUUGUGCUUGUCUGGCGCUCGGAUUCUGUCUCCUUCGGCUCUCCAGAGUCGGAGCUCUCCAGGGAGCGCUUUGUUGUUCGAUGCCGGCUGGUUGGAAAAGGACGGGCCCUUGGGGGCGGUCCUGGUUGUCUUCUCUCCAGAAAUGGCGGGAAGACAACCCCUCAUUUUGGAGG
This 1784-nucleotide telomerase RNA is filed under the name Thermothielavioides terrestris NRRL 8126. Its description in RNAcentral is "Thielavia terrestris NRRL 8126 Ascomycota telomerase RNA". It matches the Rfam family "Ascomycota telomerase RNA". Lineage: Eukaryota; Fungi; Ascomycota; Sordariomycetes; Sordariales; Chaetomiaceae. The record is from Rfam by way of RNAcentral.